CUCUUUGUCCUACCUUUUUUGUCUUGGCUUACUGUUAUUUAAUUGCAUCUAUUAUAUGGAAGAUAGAGUCCAAUAUAUCUGUUAUUUUUAAGUGAUGCUGUUGUUUUUACUUGAAAGCAAGCAUAUCAUAGCUUAAAUGAUCUAUCAUUUCCAUCGUUUAUACUAAUUAGAGAUUUAGCCAAGAUUUACUGUUUAACACAUACUCAUAUCUGACACCAGUUAACCUAGGUUUCAUGUGUUUCUGUUUUGUCUUUCCUUCGCAUAUUUUUUGCUCUAAAUGAAUGGUCCGGUCUAUGGUGUCUCUAAAUCUAGUUUCAUCUCUAAUAACAAAUAGAUGAAGUUUUUUUUUUCAAAUUUAUCUUUUCUGCUGAGAAUGGGAGUUUACCUGUGAGGAGGAAAUGCUAGAAGUUUCCUAUAGCAAUUGAUGAAGACAAAUGUUGUAUUUCUUUGUUAAAAUAUUUACUUUAUCUUCUGGAUUUUCUGUGUGGUUGAUAUCGCAAAAUAAUAAAACUAAAUCUAAUUUAACCUUGUGUCAAUUUACUUGCUGGCAACUAGAAUUCAAGGUACUAAUGACGUCGUUCAGUUAAAUAUGAUGAUAUCAGUGUUCGAUUAGUUUGCUAUCUUAACUGGUGUAGAUUAGAGUGAUGGAUGAUAAGAGUUAAUUGAUUGCCUUCCCUGAAUAAGGUAAACGGGAUUUUAUAAAAAAAAUAUAAAUAGAUGACUUUUCUGCGUAAGUCCAUAUUUUGAUGUAGAGUUCCGUUUGAAAUUUGACGGUAGGUGUGAAGGCUUGCCUGAAAAUCAUUAGGUUCCUAGUCUGCAAGGAUAUAGCAAAAUUGAAAAUUGUUAUCUUUCUUUAAGAAUUUGAACCGUGUCAAAAUUUAAAGGAACCAUAUAUGUAGCUGUUAUUUCUCCUCUAAAUUGCUGACUGAAAUUUAAUUUAUAUCGUAAGUUGGUCUCCAGUAAGGCUUCGACAAAAAAUGACUUGGAAGAGAAUGAUAUUGAAUCUGGUAUUGACCGACUACUAAAACAGCUACAAGAAGUAAAUAUGAAAAUGCAAAACUGGGUCUCAUCUGGUGGAUCUGAUAUGGUUUCUCAUACCUUGACUAGAGCGCCAGAGGGUUUCUAUUGAAGAACGCAAGAAAAACUUAUUUCUAUUGAAGAACGCAAGAAAAACUUAAGGAAAUAUGAGCAAGACAAACUCAAAGAACAAUGGGCUGAACAUGUUUGAUGGAACUGAUGGUCAUUACUUCCACACGGGGUCAAGGGGUCACCACUUGGUGUGGGAUUCUUGUCUUUUUAAUUAUGGAAGCCGAGAAGUACUAGGGUAUCUUCUUUCAAAUGCAAGAUGGUGGCUGGAGGAGUAUAAGUUUGAUGGGUACAAAUUUGAUGGUAUGACUUCAAUGAUGUACAAGAUUUCCUUUAGUAAAUGUAUUAUAUCUUUUAUUACCAAGAUUUACUUGAUUAAGAAAAUGCAUUGUAUGUUUUAUUACCUUGCAUAUGUAUUAUUUAUUUUAGUUUUGAUUCUAAAUUUUUAUUUUUA
This is an RNA transcript of Gossypium raimondii (Peruvian cotton), 1540 nucleotides long. RefSeq lists it as uncharacterized. The record is from RefSeq and is a predicted model, not a curated record. The transcript has 3 exons. NCBI's taxonomy places the organism in Eukaryota, Viridiplantae, Streptophyta, Magnoliopsida, Malvales, Malvaceae.